AUUGAACGCUGGCGGCAGGCCUAACACAUGCAAGUCGAACGGUAACAGGAAACAGCUUGCUGUUUCGCUGACGAGUGGCGGACGGGUGAGUAAUGUCUGGGAAACUGCCUGAUGGAGGGGGAUAACUACUGGAAACGGUAGCUAAUACCGCAUAACGUCGCAAGACCAAAGAGGGGGACCUUCGGGCCUCUUGCCAUCGGAUGUGCCCAGAUGGGAUUAGCUAGUAGGUGGGGUAACGGCUCACCUAGGCGACGAUCCCUAGCUGGUCUGAGAGGAUGACCAGCCACACUGGAACCGAGACACGGUCCAGACUCCUACGGGAGGCAGCAGUGGGGAAUAUUGCACAAUGGGCGCAAGCCUGAUGCAGCCAUGCCGCGUGUAUGAAGAAGGCCUUCGGGUUGUAAAGUACUUUCAGCGGGGAGGAAGGGAGUAAAGUUAAUACCUUUACUCAUUGACGUUACCCGCAGAAGAAGCACCGGCUAACUCCGUG
RNAcentral lists this ribosomal RNA (490 nucleotides) under uncultured bacterium. RNAcentral describes it as "partial 16S ribosomal RNA". It matches the Rfam family "Bacterial small subunit ribosomal RNA", at positions 30 to 507 of the family's 1533-position model. The record is from RNAcentral.